GGACGCAUAGGCGAUGGAGCUGAUGAAGGGUUUGGCGGUAACGCUGUUGGUGAUUGCGAUACGUACGGGCGGUAUAUUGGCAUCGCAAUUCUAUGACUACAAUUUUGGUCGCAAGCCCUGCAGCAUGGAGGGUGGAAUGUGCAUAGAAAGCAACACAGGUGGUCCUUUCUGCUGCACUGGAAUGUUCUGCACUCAUUUGCAGGAAGAAGGGGUAAUCUCAAGAGGAAUAUGCAUCGCGAAGACAGAAAACGCAUAAUAAUGUUAUUUGUAACCCUGUCGGCCAUAAUAAAUAUGUUCUUCGUGGA
Molecule: long non-coding RNA, 305 nt
Organism: Ornithodoros turicata
Lineage: Eukaryota; Metazoa; Arthropoda; Arachnida; Ixodida; Argasidae
Exons: 3
Source: RefSeq, a predicted model, not a curated record